AUUUAGAGGAAGGAGAAGUCGUAACAAGGUUUCCGUAGGUGAACCUGCGGAAGGAUCAUUGUCGAAACCUGCCCAGCAGAACGACCCGUGAACAUGUUAAUAACUACCGGGGGCAGGGGGCGAUCAAAAGCCUCCUGUCCCCAAAACGGUUGGGGAGCACGUGCUGUUGUCCUGUCGACCCUCUGGCGCGAACAAGGAACCACACGCACAUGUCCCCCCAAUCGAACAACGAACCCCGGCGCGGACUGCGCCAAGGAACUUCAACAAAAGAGUGCCUCCCGAUCGCCCCGGAAACGGUGUGCGUUGGUUGGGACGUCUUGACUGUUAUACAAAACGACUCUCGGCAACGGAUAUCUCGGCUCUCGCAUCGAUGAAGAACGUAGCGAAAUGCGAUACUUGGUGUGAAUUGCAGAAUCCCGCGAAUCAUCGAGUUUUUGAACGCAAGUUGCGCCCAAAGCCGUUUGGCCGAGGGCACGUCUGCCUGGGUGUCACGCAUCGUUGCCCCAACCCCAAACACCUCGCAAGAGGGAUUUCGGGGACUAUCGGGGCGGACAUUGGCCUCCCGUGAGCUAGUUCUCGCGGUUAGCCUAAAUACGAGUCCUCGGCGACGAGCGCCACGACAAUCGGUGGUUGAUAAAGCCCUCGUUUCCCGUCGUGCGUGCCUCGUCUCCCUAUGUGCGCUCUGUGACCCUGCUGUGUCGUUCAAGCGACACUUCCAUCGCGACCCCAGGUCAGGCGGGACUACCCGCUGAGUUUA
This 757-nucleotide ribosomal RNA is filed under the name Morella rubra (Chinese bayberry). RNAcentral describes it as "eukaryotic LSU rRNA". The stretch from base 336 to 491 matches the Rfam family "5.8S ribosomal RNA". The record is from RNAcentral. Lineage: Eukaryota; Viridiplantae; Streptophyta; Magnoliopsida; Fagales; Myricaceae.